GGGGGUGUAGCUCAGUUGGGAGAGCGUCUCGUUCGCAACGAGAAGGUCAGCGGUUCGAUCCCGCUCACCUCCA
Molecule: transfer RNA, 73 nt
Filed under: Nitrospirota bacterium
Lineage: Bacteria; Pseudomonadati; Nitrospirota
Description: Nitrospirae bacterium (groundwater metagenome) tRNA-Ala
Rfam family: tRNA
About the family: Transfer RNA (tRNA) molecules are approximately 80 nucleotides in length. Their secondary structure includes four short double-helical elements and three loops (D, anti-codon, and T loops).
Source: RNAcentral